AUUGAACGCUGGCGGCAUGCCUUACACAUGCAAGUCGAACGGCAGCGCGGGAGCAAUCCUGGCGGCGAGUGGCGAACGGGUGAGUAAUACAUCGGAACGUGCCCAAUCGUGGGGGAUAACGCAGCGAAAGCUGUGCUAAUACCGCAUACGAUCUACGGAUGAAAGCAGGGGAUCGCAAGACCUUGCGCGAAUGGAGCGGCCGAUGGCAGAUUAGGUAGUUUGUGGGGUAAAGGGUCACCAAGCCUUCGAUCUGUAGCUGGUCUGAGAGGACGACCAGCCACACUGGGACUGAGACACGGCCCAGACUCCUACGGGAGGCAGCAGUGGGGAAUUUUGGACAAUGGGCGAAAGCCUGAUCCAGCCAUGCCGCGUGCAGGAUGAAGGCCUUCGGGUUGUAAACUGCUUUUGUACGGAACGAAACGGUCUUUUCUAAUAAAGAAGGCUAAUGACGGUACCGUAAGAAUAAGCACCGGCUAACUACGUG
This 484-nucleotide ribosomal RNA is filed under the name uncultured bacterium. RNAcentral's name for it is "partial 16S ribosomal RNA". It matches the Rfam family "Bacterial small subunit ribosomal RNA", at positions 30 to 507 of the family's 1533-position model. The record is from RNAcentral.